GACGAACGCUGGCGGCGUGCUUAACACACGCAAGUCGAACGGUAAGGCCCUUCGGGGUACACGAGUGGCGAACGGGUGAGUAACACGUGGGUGAUCUGCCCUGCACUUCGGGAUAAGCCUGGGAAACUGGGUCUAAUACCGGAUAGGACCACUGCCUGCAUGGGUGGUGGUGGAAAGCUUUUGCGGUGUGGGAUGGGCCCGAGGCCUAUCAGCUUGUUGGUGGGGUGAUGGCCUACCAAGGCGACGACGGGUAGCCGGCCUGAGAGGGUGACCGGCCACACUGGGACUGAGAGACGGCCCAGACUCCUACGGGGGGGAGCAGUGGGGAAUAUUGCACAGUGGGCGCAAGCCUGAUGCAGCGACGACGCGUGAGGGAUGACGGCCUUCGGGUUGUAAGCCUCUUUCAGCACCGACGAAGCACAAGUGACGGUAGGUGCAGAAGAAGGACCGGCCAACUACGUGCCAGCCGCCGCGGUAA
RNAcentral lists this ribosomal RNA (478 nucleotides) under uncultured bacterium. RNAcentral's name for it is "partial 16S ribosomal RNA". It matches the Rfam family "Bacterial small subunit ribosomal RNA", at positions 28 to 523 of the family's 1533-position model. The record is from RNAcentral.